This 347-nucleotide ribosomal RNA is filed under the name uncultured bacterium. RNAcentral describes it as "partial 16S ribosomal RNA". It matches the Rfam family "Bacterial small subunit ribosomal RNA", at positions 338 to 683 of the family's 1533-position model. The record is from RNAcentral.
CCUACGGGUGGCAGCAGUGAGGAAUAUUGGUCAAUGGACGAGAGUCUGAACCAGCCAGUUAGCGGGAGGGAGGACUUCCCUAUGGGUUGUAAACUUCUUUUAUAUGGGAUUAAAAUUUUCACCUUGUGGAUUUUUGUAUGUCCAAUAUGAUUCAGACUGGCCAAAGUCCGUGCAAGCGUCCGCGGUAAUCCGGGGUUUCCGAGCGUUAUCCGAAUUUAUUGGGUUUAAGGGGUGCACAGGCGGAAGAGAAAGUCAGGGGUAAAAUUGAGAGGCUCAACCUCUCCGAGCGGUUGAAACUGGUUUUCUAGAGUGAUGGAGAAGUAUGCGGAAUGCGUGGUGUAGCGGUG